UACGUAGGGGUCGAGCGUUGUCCGGAGUUACUGGGCGUAAAGCGUGCGCAGGCGGCGGUCUGCGCCCGGCGUGAAAGCCCCCGGCUCAACCGGGGAGGGUCGUCGGGGACGGGACCGCUUGAGGGUCGCAGGGGCUGGUGGAAUUCCCGGUGUAGUGGUGAAAUGCGUAGAGAUCGGGAGGAACACCCGUGGCGAAGGCGGCCAGCUGGGCGACACCUGACGCUGAGGCACGAAGGCGUGGGGAGCGAACGGG
This 253-nucleotide ribosomal RNA is filed under the name uncultured bacterium. RNAcentral's name for it is "partial 16S ribosomal RNA". It matches the Rfam family "Bacterial small subunit ribosomal RNA", at positions 524 to 776 of the family's 1533-position model. The record is from RNAcentral.